ACAUGGCACAGCUACCAGCAAGGCGACAAUUACUGUGAAGAGACCAUCAGGAGCCGGGGAGUCCUGCCAGCUUGGUAUAGUGCCCCAUCUGACUGACAUCCAUCCCAGUAAGCUGGAGGUGAGUCUGCUGGAUCGGUUCCGGGUGAGUUUCGGUGUGGAAGGCGGCUCCAUCAGUCUGGUGUGCACCAUGGUGGUCGUCCCCGACCUCCCCAACGUGCCCCCCCUCGCCCAGUGGUACAGAGACGAUAAACUGCUGAAACCCGGUAAGCUGGUGGAGAUAUCUGUGGGCGGAGGCGCCGCCCGUCUGACGCUGCCUCACCUGGCCAAGGACGACGAGGGCCUCUACACCCUCCGCAUCUUUACCAAGGACGGCACCGCCGAGCACAGCGCCUACCUGUUUG
Non-coding RNA from Plectropomus leopardus (leopard coralgrouper), 401 nucleotides. The record is from RefSeq and is a predicted model, not a curated record. NCBI's taxonomy places the organism in Eukaryota, Metazoa, Chordata, Actinopteri, Perciformes, Serranidae.